UUUGGUUUGAAAAGAAAGAGAACAAUACACAUACACUAUAUUAUGUAGGGAAAAUAUAGAGAUUGCUUGUUUCCAAACUUCUUAGUAUUUGCUAAAUUUAACUAAAUGCACAUCUUGCUGGCCCCAGUAGGGGUGUAAACGAGCCAAACACGAGCAAGCCGGGGCCGGCUCAUGUUCAGCUCGUUUAAUAAAUUAAUGAGCUGAACACGAGCUGCCUCGUUAAAGUAUCGAGUUGAAAAAUUCAGCUCGUGUUAACACGAGCUGGCUUACAGGCUGGCCAACGAACAAUAAGUUAAAAUGAUUAGAUUGAAUAUAUAUAAAAACUAAAUUUAUGAAAUUUUAUCCAUUAGACUUUGAUCUAAUAUAGUUGAAACUUUACAUAUAAAUGAGUUUUUUUUAUAAUUGAGCUCAUUUUUAUAUUUUUAUUUUGCUAAAAAUUAAAUAAUAAAAAUAUAUAUUUUAUAUAUAUAAUUAUUUAUUUAUAUAUAAAUAUAAAUUCAAUAAAUUAUAUGAAUAUAAAAUGUAUGUAUUCGAGCUGUUAUCGAGCUGAACAUGAGCGAGCUGACUCCAGCUCGUGUUCGGCUCGUUUAUUAAACGAGUCGAAAAAUUUAGCUCGUGUUCAACUCGUUUACGAUACGAGCGAUUCGAUCUCGAGCUCAUUUCGAACCGAACACGAGUUGGCUCGAAAACAGCGAGCUGGAUUGCCACCCCUAGGCCCCAGAAAGAAAAAGGCUACUUAGAAAUUCACACUUUUUUUUGGAGAACCCAUUUCAUUCAUUUUUUAUGAAAAUAAACUUAACUAAAAAUGUAAAACAGCUAAACUUUAAUUAAACUUAGGUAUUACUUAUCAAGUCUUUUACUACU
This 864-nucleotide long non-coding RNA is filed under the name Ananas comosus (pineapple). RNAcentral's name for it is "long non-coding RNA (ACOM_LNC031121)". The record is from RNAcentral. Lineage: Eukaryota; Viridiplantae; Streptophyta; Magnoliopsida; Poales; Bromeliaceae.